AUUGAACGCUGGCGGCGUGCCUUACACAUGCAAGUCGAACGGCAACACGAGUCCUUGCCCCCUGUGGCGAGUGGCGAACGGGUGAGUAAUACAUGGGGACACGUCCUGUAGUAGUGGGUUAACCUGCGGAAGCCGGAUUUAUACCGCAUACGAAUUUCGAACGACAGCGGGGGCACUUGUGACCUCGCGCUGUUGUGUCGUCUCAUGCCGGAUUAGCUAGUUGGUGAGGUAAAGGCCUACCAAGGCGACGAUGAGUAGCCGGCCUGAGAGGGCGACCGGCCACACUGGAACUGAGACACGGUCCAGACUCCUACGGGAGGCAGCAGUGGGGAAUCUUCGGCAAUGGGCGAAAGCCUGACGGAGCAACGCCGCGUGAGUGAAGAAGGUCUUCGGAUUGUAAAGCUCUGUUAUUAGGGAAGAACACAUGUGUAAGAAACCGGGCAGGUCUUGACGGUACCUAAACAGAAAGCCACGGCUAACUACGUG
RNAcentral lists this ribosomal RNA (486 nucleotides) under uncultured bacterium. Its description in RNAcentral is "partial 16S ribosomal RNA". It matches the Rfam family "Bacterial small subunit ribosomal RNA", at positions 30 to 507 of the family's 1533-position model. The record is from RNAcentral.